Molecule: ribosomal RNA, 813 nt
Filed under: Triticum aestivum (bread wheat)
Lineage: Eukaryota; Viridiplantae; Streptophyta; Magnoliopsida; Poales; Poaceae
Description: partial small subunit ribosomal RNA
Source: RNAcentral
AUGGCGCGCGGCCUCCGCCAUCUCCUGCUCCUCGCAGCGCUCCUCCAGCUGCUUUCGGCCACCUCCGCGGCGACGGCCGGCGACGUCGCCACUGGCAGGGGCAGCGAGAAGGUGCACGUGGCGAUCUACUACGAGUCGCUGUGCCCCUACUCGGUCCGCUUCGUGGCGAACCACCUCUUCAAGGCCUACAGGGACGGCCUGCUCGACGCCGCCAAUCUCACCCUCGUCCCCUAUGGCAACGCCGUGGUCCGCAAUGACGGCACCAUCUCCUGUCAGCAUGGCCCCGAGGAAUGCCUUCUCAACACCGUGGAGGCUUGCGCCAUCGACGCCUGGCCGGACGUGAAGGUGCAUCUCGGCUUCAUUUACUGCGUGUCGGACCUGGUGUUGAAGAACAAGCACCGGGAGUGGGAGUCGUGCUUCCAGAAACAGGGGCUUGACCCAAAGCCAGUCACGGAGUGCUACAAGGGCGAGCGUGGCCACAAUUGCUGGCAUUUCGCAUGUUCCAUCCAGCUAUCGCUCGAGUAUGGGAGACAGACAGCUGAGCUCGUGCCUCCUCACCAGUUCGUUCCAUGGGUGGUGGUCGACGGCAAGCCGCUCUACAACUCCUUGAAUCGAUCUUGUCCCGGUAUCAGGAUUACGGGAACUUCAAAGCUUACAUCUGCAAGGCGUACAAGGGCUAUCCCCUCCUCGAGGCGUGUCGAAGCCUGGGCCUGGAGGCACACGACGAUGUGUACGGCCGACUUUGAUCGUGAUGAUGAUGAUGCCAUCGCCAAGAUUAGGAUGGUCCUGCCGGAUGGUGAUAAUAAUGAUUGA